GAUGAACGCUGGCGGCGUGCCUAAUACAUGCAAGUCGAGCGAACAGACGAGGAGCUUGCUCCUCUGACGUUAGCGGCGGACGGGUGAGUAACACGUGGAUAACCUACCUAUAAGACUGGGAUAACUUCGGGAAACCGGAGCUAAUACCGGAUAAUAUAUUGAACCGCAUGGUUCAAUAGUGUAAGACGGUUUUGCUGUCACUUAUAGAUGGAUCCGCGCCGCAUUAGCUAGUUGGUAAGGUAACGGCUUACCAAGGCAACGAUGCGUAGCCGACCUGAGAGGGUGAUCGGCCAGACUGGAACUGAGACACGGUCCAGACUCCGACGGGAGGCAGCAGUAGGGAAUCUUCCGCGAUGGGGGAAAGCCUGACGGAGCAACGCCGCGUGAGUGAUGAAGGUCUUCGGAUCGUAGAACUCUGUUAUUAGGGAGGAACAAAUGUGUAAGUAACUAUGCACGUCUUGACGGUACCUAAUCAGAAAGCCACGGCUAACUACGUG
This 497-nucleotide ribosomal RNA is filed under the name uncultured bacterium. RNAcentral's name for it is "partial 16S ribosomal RNA". It matches the Rfam family "Bacterial small subunit ribosomal RNA", at positions 28 to 507 of the family's 1533-position model. The record is from RNAcentral.